Gopherus flavomarginatus (Mexican gopher tortoise) is the source of this 958-nucleotide long non-coding RNA. RefSeq lists it as uncharacterized. NCBI's taxonomy places the organism in Eukaryota, Metazoa, Chordata, Testudines, Testudinidae. The record is from RefSeq and is a predicted model, not a curated record. The transcript has 5 exons.
GGGAAGAGCACGUCGGAGGAGGGAGAGACGAGGUCCCAGCAGCUCUGCCCAAGCAGACAGGAAACAGGACGCAAAGGGGCCAAGUGCCCACCAGGACGUGGCUGGCGGAGUUAGUGCGGCUCGGCCCUCCCCUCCCACACCAUGGACCCAUCUGCCUGGGAUUCUCCCCCGCCUGACCCCCUGCUCGUCGCUCACGCCUCAGACCCCUACCCUAAGGCUUGUGCCUAGCAGAGUCCCCUGCCCUUCGCUGCAGCACUGUGCCCCAGGGAACCUACCGGGAAUGUUAACUUGGUGGCACCUUACCAAGGGACACUGCCCAUCCUCUGCCAGGGCUUGUGUGGGCCAAAGUGCAAGAGGCGUGGAGAUGCGCUGCCACUGAUCAGGCUGCGCUACUGCCACAGGCUUAAGGCCGGCAGGGGGUGCUGGAGGGCAUGGGGAAGGGCUCUCCACCCCAGGGCCAGCAGGAAGCACUAGAGAAAUUGGGGUCCCCACCCCAGGGCCAGCAGGGGGUGCUAGAGAAGUCAGGGGAGGUCCCUGCCCCAAGGCCAGCAGGGGACGCUGAACAGGUUGGUGUCCCCACCCUGGGCCAGCAAGGGGGUUCUGGAGAGGUCAGGAAGGUCCCUGCCCCGGGACAGCAGGCGGUGGUGGAGAGGUCAGGAAGGUCCCUGCCCCGGGCCAGCAGGGGGUGGUGGAGAGGUCAGGAAGGUCCCCACUCCAGGCCAGCAGGGGGUGCUGAAGGGCACGGGGUUGGGGUCCCUGCCCUGGGCCAGCAGCGGGUGCUGAAGGGCACGGGGUGGUGGUCCCCGCCCCAGGCCAGCAGGGGGUGCUGAAGGGCAUGGGGUUGGGGUCCCUGCCCUGGGCCAGCAGGGGGUGCUGAAGGGCACAGGGUGGGGGUCCCUGCCCCGGGCCAGCGGGGGGUGCUGAAGGGCAUGGGUGGGGGUCCCUGCCCUGCAGGGCU